This is a non-coding RNA of Desmophyllum pertusum, 77 nucleotides long. The record is from the annotation of a GenBank genome assembly. NCBI's taxonomy places the organism in Eukaryota, Metazoa, Cnidaria, Anthozoa, Scleractinia, Caryophylliidae.
UCUCCUGUAGGCUAGCUCAGUGGUAGAGUGUCCAACUGGUGUGUGGAAGGUCAUAGGUUCGACUCCUGUUGGGAGAA